Molecule: long non-coding RNA, 347 nt
Filed under: Zosterops lateralis melanops
Lineage: Eukaryota; Metazoa; Chordata; Aves; Passeriformes; Zosteropidae
Description: lncRNA (ENSZLMG00000008099.1)
Source: RNAcentral
GCAGGGGAAGAAGUUUAGCUUUGGGAAGAUUCUCUUCAGCAACACCACCAUUUUCCUGAAAUUUGAAGGAGAUGAAAAAGCUUGUGAACCCUCCCAGUCUUUCAAUAUUACUUGGUACUUAAGGUACUCUGACUGCUACAAUGAAGUCUUCAACUUUGGGGAUGAACAAGCGGAUAACUAUUUUGGGACUACAGCUGAAGAGCAUCCAGGUUGGUCAGGAUACUAUGCAACUUCUUCUCUCUUUCGAAACUGCUCUCAGCUCUUCAGGCCUCAGAUUUUCUAUAAAGAUUUUGUUCAUCCAGAGCCCCUCUCACCUGAGAAACAAGAGGGCGUAAAAGAUAAGAAGG